AGCCCGAAGAAGAGUGGACGGGUCAAUUUCCACUCUAACUCCCUGUUGGACUUGGCCGGGCCAUUGUGCCCGGUCUUUUUU
RNAcentral lists this non-coding RNA (81 nucleotides) under Sulfitobacter donghicola DSW-25 = KCTC 12864 = JCM 14565. RNAcentral's name for it is "Singlet oxygen resistance RNA X". It matches the Rfam family "Singlet oxygen resistance RNA X". From Rfam's summary of the family: SorX (RSs2461)like SorY is a singlet oxygen induced sRNA that counteracts oxidative stress by targeting mRNA for a transporter in Rhodobacter. It also has an impact on resistance against organic hydroperoxides. Lineage: Bacteria; Pseudomonadati; Pseudomonadota; Alphaproteobacteria; Rhodobacterales; Roseobacteraceae. The record is from Rfam by way of RNAcentral.